This 453-nucleotide ribosomal RNA is filed under the name uncultured Pseudomonas sp. Its description in RNAcentral is "bacterial SSU rRNA". It matches the Rfam family "Bacterial small subunit ribosomal RNA", at positions 930 to 1382 of the family's 1533-position model. The record is from RNAcentral. Lineage: Bacteria; Pseudomonadati; Pseudomonadota; Gammaproteobacteria; Pseudomonadales; Pseudomonadaceae.
CGGUGGAGCAUGUGGUUAAUCCGAAGCAACGCGAAGAACCUUACCAGGCCUUGACAUGCAGAGAACUUUCCAGAGAUGGAUUGGUGCCUUCGGGAACUCUGACACAGGUGCUGCAUGGCUGUCGUCAGCUCGUGUCGUGAGAUGUUGGGUUAAGUCCUGUAACGAGCGCAACCCUUGUCCUUAGUUACCAGCACGUUAUGGUGGGCACUCUAAGGAGACUGCCGGUGACAAACCGGAGGAAGGUGGGGGAUGACGUCAAGUCAUCAUGGCCCUUACGGCCUGGGCUACACACGUGCUACAAUGGUCGGUACAAAGGGUUGCCAAGCCGCGAGGUGGAGCUAAUCCCAUAAAACCGAUCGUAGUCCGGAUCGCAGUCUGCAACUCGACUGCGUGAAGUCGGAAUCGCUAGUAAUCGUGAAUCAGAAUGUCACGGUGAAUACGUUCCCGGGCCUU